RNAcentral lists this ribosomal RNA (389 nucleotides) under Polykrikos sp. Its description in RNAcentral is "partial small subunit ribosomal RNA". It matches the Rfam family "Eukaryotic small subunit ribosomal RNA", at positions 582 to 975 of the family's 1831-position model. Lineage: Eukaryota; Dinophyceae; Gymnodiniales; Gymnodiniaceae. The record is from RNAcentral.
AUUCCAGCUCCAAUAGCGUAUAUUAAAGUUGUUGCGGUUAAAAAGCUCGUAGUUGGAUUUCUGCUAGGGACGAUCGGUCCACCCACUGGGUGUGUAUCUGUGUCGGCCUUGGCAUCUUCCUGGCGAACGCAACUGCACUUGACUGUGUGGUGCGGUAUCCAGGACUUUUACUUUGAGGAAAUUAGAGUGUUUCAAGCAGGCGCACGCCUUGAAUACAUUAGCAUGGAAUAAUAAGAUAGGACCUGCGUUCUAUUUUGUUGGUUUCUAGAGCUGAGGUAAUGAUUAAUCGGGGUAGUUGGGGGCAUUCGUAUUUAACAGUCGGAGGUGAAAUUCUUGGAUUUAUUGAAGACGAACUACUGCGAAAGCAUUUACCAAGGAUGUUUUCAUCG